GACAGUUUGGCCGAGUGGUUUAAGGCGCCAGAUCCAGGUUCUGGUCCGAAAGGGCGUGGGUUCAAAUCCCACAGCUGUCA
Non-coding RNA from Daucus carota subsp. sativus, 80 nucleotides. NCBI's taxonomy places the organism in Eukaryota, Viridiplantae, Streptophyta, Magnoliopsida, Apiales, Apiaceae. The record is from Rfam.